GACGAACGCUGGCGGCGUGCUUAACACAUGCAAGUCGAACGGAAAGGCCCUGCUUUUGUGGGGUGCUCGAGUGGCGAACGGGUGAGUAACACGUGAGUAACCUGCCCUUGACUUUGGGAUAACUUCAGGAAACUGGGGCUAAUACCGGAUAGGAGCUCCUGCUGCAUGGUGGGGGUUGGAAAGUUUCGGCGGUUGGGGAUGGACUCGCGGCUUAUCAGCUUGUUGGUGGGGUAGUGGCUUACCAAGGCUUUGACGGGUAGCCGGCCGGAGAGGGUGACCGGCCAAAUGGGGACUGAGAUACGGCCCAGACUCCUACGGGAGGCAGCAGGGGGGAAUAUUGCACAAUGGGCGGAAGCCUGAUGCAGCAACGCCGCGUGCGGGAUGACGGCCUUCGGGUUGUAAACCGCUUUCGCCUGUGACGAAGCGUGAGUGACGGUAAUGGGUAAAGAAGCACCGGCUAACUACGUG
RNAcentral lists this ribosomal RNA (468 nucleotides) under uncultured bacterium. Its description in RNAcentral is "partial 16S ribosomal RNA". It matches the Rfam family "Bacterial small subunit ribosomal RNA", at positions 28 to 507 of the family's 1533-position model. The record is from RNAcentral.